GUCAUUACUUCCAGGGAAAAUGGAGAAACUGGCACCAGAGACUAAUGUGAGCGUACGAUGCCAAGGCCUGAGACAGAGUUCACUCGAGAAGCCGACGGUGAAGACUGGCAGACUGACAGAGCUACAGCCUCUCUGAGAGGACGUGAAGGAAGAGCUCGUGUUGCGCUUGGCGGGGAAGCCUGGGGCUGCGAGAGCGAGGACGCGGGUGAGCGAGGACGCGGGUGAGCGAGGACGCGGGUGAGCGAGGACGCGGAGAGCGAGGACGCGGUGAGCGAGGACGCGGGUGAGCGAGGACGCGGGUGAGCGUCAGGGAGUUUGAAGGGCAGGCUCGGCGUUUGUGCCGGGCAGUCGAGUCCCAGCCGAGC
Molecule: long non-coding RNA, 365 nt
Filed under: Dasypus novemcinctus (nine-banded armadillo)
Lineage: Eukaryota; Metazoa; Chordata; Mammalia; Cingulata; Dasypodidae
Description: lncRNA (ENSDNOG00000051098.1)
Source: RNAcentral